AAUAAAAAAAAAAAAAAAAAAAAUAUAUAUAUAUAUAUAUAUAUAAUUUUGGGUAGGUGAAUGAUAAAAUAAAUAUUUUAAUGAGAACAAAUGGAUAAUUAAUUGGGUUACUGGGAUAUGGGAUUCGGAUACAGAAUGGUCCCAAGGAUACAAUCUGCCAAUUGCAUAUAGUAUCACAAAUGUGCAUCACAGCAAUGUAAGCUUGUCACGAAGUGGAUGAAAGUGACAAACUCGGAAAAAGCUGGGUUUCAUAGCAGAUGCAAACCUUCUUCGGCCGCACCACCUCCGUUAUCUUCCUGGGCCUAGGACGGCCCAUUUGUCAUGUAAGAGCUCAGGUGAGCGGCAGCUUCCCCGAGCGUGCGCAUGACAGAAAUGCAAUUCUAUGCUAAAUCUGGGGAAUCCUCCACGAUAGCAAAAGGACUAAUGGCCCUUCCUGCUGAGAAUUUAUCAUGUCACCAUGCAGAGGUGAUUUGUGUGGUCCUUGCAAAAUAUACUUCAUGCGAUUGACUGUUCUGAUAUGCUACAUAAGAGAUGUACUUUUCCAGCAUAACAACAUAAACCUAAGACAUAAAAAUUUGAACUUCAUUUGUCAACCUCCAUUGCCUGGGCAGCUUUGGCUUUUGUCAAUGUCAAUUUGGUCUUCACCUUUUUCUUCCUAAGCAAAAAUCCACUUGAACCCCUCUUUGUAUUGUUUUUACCGACAACCUUAACAACAAUUUCAUCUUAUUCUUCUUUUCUUGGUGCUUCUUCUCUUUCUUUUCUUUCAGUUCCUUCCCUUCUAUAAUUAACCAGAAAAACAACAACAGUAACUACAAAUUCAAAGAGCUAAACGAAACAUAUAAUAAUACAAACACAGAAAGAGAUAGAAGAAGAUGCAAUUAUUUUGAAGCUAGAACUCAUGCUGUCUCUUUCUGCGAGCUAAAUUGUUCUUAGACAUUCCGAUUGCUCUAUUAUCAAUAAUCGGUUUCGGCAUCGACUCUGGCUCAAUUUGUAUGUUUUGGGAACGCUUAAACCCGAACCUUACAGAAAGAGAACUCUUUUAUUUCACCACUAAGAAUUGC
Molecule: unclassified non-coding RNA, 1061 nt
Filed under: Hevea brasiliensis (rubber tree)
Lineage: Eukaryota; Viridiplantae; Streptophyta; Magnoliopsida; Malpighiales; Euphorbiaceae
Source: RNAcentral